Lotus japonicus is the source of this 1950-nucleotide RNA transcript. It is a transcript of the gene named L-ascorbate oxidase homolog, with no coding region annotated. The record is from RefSeq and is a predicted model, not a curated record. NCBI's taxonomy places the organism in Eukaryota, Viridiplantae, Streptophyta, Magnoliopsida, Fabales, Fabaceae. The transcript has 9 exons.
UCCAAUCAUGGUUGGUUCCUAUGCACAGUUCAUUUUUCUAGUAUAUUAAUGCUCCAAACCUUGUCAGUGUUGAAGGCUGUCACACUUUCAGCUCAACCCAGAUCUGUAGACAGACUCAAUGGAAAGGACUAGUUUGAUUUUGCUACAUGUGUUCUGUGUUGUUCUUGCUUUGGUAAAUGUGUCUCUAGUGAAAGCAGAAGAUCCAUACAAGUUCUACACAUGGACAGUGACUUAUGGAACUCUUUCUCCUCUGGGCAGUCCUCAACAAGUUAUUCUGAUCAAUGGUCAGUUUCCUGGUCCAAGACUUGACUUGGUAACUAAUGACAACGUGAUUCUCAACCUCAUCAACAAGCUGGAUGAGCCAUUCUUGCUCACAUGGAAUGGCAUUAAGCAGAGGAAAAAUUCUUGGCAAGAUGGGGUUUUAGGAACUAACUGUCCCAUUCCUCCAAACUCAAAUUACACUUACAAGUUUCAGGCCAAGGAUCAGAUUGGCACUUAUACAUACUUUCCAUCAACUAAGAUGCAUAAAGCUUCUGGAGGGUUUGGAGCUCUCAAUGUUCUUCAUAGAUCUGUCAUCCCAAUCCCUUAUCCAAACCCUGAUGGAGAUUUUACAUUACUCAUUGGUGAUUGGUACAAAACUAGCCACAAGACAUUAAGCCAAACAUUGGAUUCUGGGAAAUCUCUUGCCUUUCCUGAUGGCCUCCUUAUCAAUGGCCAGGCUCAUUCUACCUUCACUGUUAACCAGGGAAAAACCUAUAUGUUCAGGAUCUCAAAUGUUGGUCUGUCAACCUCAAUUAACUUCAGAAUUCAGGGACAUACCCUAAAACUAGUUGAGGUUGAAGGAUCACACACUAUCCAGAACGAAUACGACUCGCUUGAUGUGCAUGUUGGCCAAUCAGUUUCUGUGUUAGUAACCUUAAAUCAACCUCCAAAGGACUAUUACAUCGUUGCCUCAACAAGAUUUACCAAGACUGUUCUCACUACAACCUCAGUGCUACACUAAAAUUCUCAGUCAGCCGCAUCAGGAUCCUUGCCUGCUCCCCCUGCUGACAAUUAUGACUGGUCUAUGAAGCAAGCUAGAACCUACAGAUGGAAUCUGACAGCAAAUGCUGCCAGGCCUAACCCACAAGGGUCAUUCCAUUAUGGGAAGAUAACUCCUAAUAAAUUAUUCAAAUUGGCUAAUUCAGCACCUUUGAUUAAUGGAAAGCUCCGUUAUGCUGUUAACAAGGUUUCCUAUGCUAACCCUGAUACCCCUCUCAAACUUGCUGAUUACUUCAACAUUGCCGGAAUCUUCAGCUCACUUCCAAGCGCCCCUUCUAAUAGUCCCGAAUACAUAGCUACUUCAGUGUUGCCAACUUCUCUGCACGAUUUUAUUGAGGUUGUUUACCAGAACAAUGAAAAUACCAUGCAAUCUUGGCAUCUUGAUGGUUAUGAUUUCUGGGUUAUUGGCUAUGGUUUCGGCCAGUGGACAGAUGCCAGUAGAAGUACCUAUAAUCUAGUGGAUGCUCUGACUAGACACACUGCUCAGGUGUAUCCAAACUCUUGGACUGCUAUAUUGGUGUCCUUGGAUAACCAAGGUAUGUGGAAUUUGAGGUCUGCAAUAUGGGAAAGACAAUAUCUUGGGCAACAAGUGUAUCUCAGAGUAUGGAAUGCACAGCAAAGCCUUGCCAAUGAAUAUGGAAUUCCCAAUAAUGCUCUGCUUUGCGGCAAAGCCAUUGGACAUCACGCUUAAUAUCACCUAGUACCAACCAUUUGUUGGUGUUUUUUCUAGUCAUGAGAGUUUGACUACAAUUAGUUUGUCCUCUUUAAAGAAGUAGAAGUUAGUUUCUCAAAUUUCUGAAAGGCUUCCAUAUAUUUGAGAAAAGUCUUGUAUUGAAUUUUCACUUACAUUGAUUCUAUAUUUAAUUAUUCAUAGUUAUAAUUUAUGAAGGUAUAUUUCAUUUAUUCAAA